Molecule: ribosomal RNA, 429 nt
Filed under: Chloroflexota bacterium
Lineage: Bacteria; Bacillati; Chloroflexota
Description: Chloroflexi bacterium partial 16S ribosomal RNA
Rfam family: Bacterial small subunit ribosomal RNA
Source: RNAcentral
UGGGGAAUAUUGCACAAUGGGCGCAAGCCUGAUGCAGCCAUGCCGCGUGUGUGAAGAAGGCCUUCGGGUUGUAAAGCACUUUCAGCGGGGUGGAAGGCGAUAAGGUUAAUAACCUUGUCGAUUGACGUUACCCGCAGAAGAAGCACCGGCUAACUCCGUGCCAGCAGCCGCGGUAAUACGGAGGGUGCAAGCGUUAAUCGGAAUUACUGGGCGUAAAGCGCACGCAGGCGGUCUGUCAAGUCGGAUGUGAAAUCCCCGGGCUCAACCUGGGAACUGCAUUCGAAACUGGCAGGCUAGAGUCUUGUAGAGGGGGGUAGAAUUCCAGGUGUAGCGGUGAAAAGCGUAGAGAUCUGGAGGAAUACCGGUGGCGAAGGCGGCCCCCUGGACAAAGACUGACGCUCAGGUGCGAAAGAGUGGGGAGCAAACAGG